UGGGGAAUAUUGCACAAUGGGGGAAACCCUGAUGCAGCGACGCCGCGUGAGCGAAGAAGGCUUUCGAGUCGUAAAGCUCUGUCCUAUGAGAAGAUAAUGACGGUAUCAUAGGAGGAAGCUCUGGCUAAAUACGUGCCAGCAGCCGCGGUAAUACGUAUGGGGCGAGCGUUGUCCGGAAUUAUUGGGCGUAAAGGGUACGUAGGUGGUUUUUUAAGUCAGGUGUCAAAGCGUGGAGCUUAACUCCAUUAAGCACUUGAAACUGAAAGACUUGAGUGAAGGAGAGGAAAGUGGAAUUCCUAGUGUAGCGGUGAAAAGCGUAGAUAUUAGGAGGAAUACCGGUGGCGAAGGAGAAUUUCUGGACUUUUACUGACGAUCAGGUACGAAAGCGUGGGGAGCAAAGAGG
This 403-nucleotide ribosomal RNA is filed under the name Verrucomicrobiota bacterium. Its description in RNAcentral is "Verrucomicrobia bacterium partial 16S ribosomal RNA". It matches the Rfam family "Bacterial small subunit ribosomal RNA", at positions 355 to 776 of the family's 1533-position model. Lineage: Bacteria; Pseudomonadati; Verrucomicrobiota. The record is from RNAcentral.